GAUGAACGCUGGCGGCGUGCCUAAUACAUGCAAGUCGAGCGAACAGACGAGGAGCUUGCUCCUCUGACGUUAGCGGCGGACGGGUGAGUAACACGUGGAUAACCUACCUAUAAGACUGGGAUAACUUCGGGAAACCGGAGCUAAUACCGGAUAAUAUAUUGAACCGCAUGGUUCAAUAGUGAAAGACGGUUUUGCUGUCACUUAUAGAUGGAUCCGCGCCGCAUUAGCUAGUUGGUAAGGUAACGGCUUACCAAGGCAACGAUGCGUAGCCGACCUGAGAGGGUGACCGGCCAAACUGAAACGGAGCACCGGGCCAACCCCCAAGGGAGGGAGGAGGUGGGGAUUUUUCCCCAGUGGGGAAAGCCUGAACGGGCCAACCCGCGGGGGGUAAGGAGGGUUUCGGGUUGGAAAACCUUUUUUUUUGGGAAAAAAAAAAUGUGGAAGAAACCACGCCGUUUUUAGGGGAACCAAAUAAAAAACCCCCGCUAAACUCGUG
Molecule: ribosomal RNA, 496 nt
Filed under: uncultured bacterium
Lineage: Bacteria
Description: partial 16S ribosomal RNA
Rfam family: Bacterial small subunit ribosomal RNA
Source: RNAcentral